This is a long non-coding RNA of Canis lupus familiaris (dog), 422 nucleotides long. RefSeq lists it as uncharacterized. Lineage: Eukaryota; Metazoa; Chordata; Mammalia; Carnivora; Canidae. The record is from RefSeq and is a predicted model, not a curated record. The transcript has 3 exons.
GGAAAUGUUUUGUUUUUUAAGGCUUUGCUUGUAUAAUAGUAGCGCCCGCUCACUGUAAGAAACUCAUGUACACCGAAGAGCACGAACAGAAAACGUUCAAGUGGUUCAGAAGCCAGCACCCCCAGAAACACCCACAGACACCUCCUUCCACGGCCGUCUUUGGAGAGAAGGACAGGAAAGAAAAAUACCGGGAGGCUGGAUUCGUUUCUUUAAGCAUGUUUCCACUGUAGAUGGCAUCUCCUGACAGCCUGUGAUUUAGGAUAAGGAAAUGAGCUCAUUCAUUUCCUAUCCCCUUCCUCUCCCAGAAGCUGUGACUUCUUAUUUUUACAUUGUCAAGGGAAAAUCCAGCUUCUUCUUCAAGGCCUACGCCGGACAACUCCUCUGUGAAGCCUUCUGUGAAGUUUGGAUUGUUAUUUGGCAAG